This 332-nucleotide ribosomal RNA is filed under the name Cryptosporidium parvum. Its description in RNAcentral is "partial 18S ribosomal RNA". The record is from RNAcentral. Lineage: Eukaryota; Apicomplexa; Conoidasida; Eucoccidiorida; Cryptosporidiidae.
CCUCUCCAAUCUCUAGUUGGCAUAGUUUAUGGUUAAGACUACGACGGUAUCUGAUCGUCUUCGAUCCCCUAACUUUCGUUCUUGAUUAAUGAAAACAUCCUUGGCAAAUGCUUUCGCAUUAGUUUGUCUUUAACAAAUCUAAGAAUUUCACCUCUGACUGUUAAAUACAAAUGCCCCCAACUGUCCCUAUUAAUCAUUAUUCUUAUCUUAGAACCAAUAAAAAAGAUAAAAAUCUUUAAUAUUAUUCCAUGCUGGAGUAUUCAAGGCAUAUGCCUGCUUUAAGCACUCUAAUUUUCUCAAAGUAAAAUUUCAUAUACUAAAAAAAAAAAUAG